Molecule: long non-coding RNA, 468 nt
Filed under: Equus asinus (donkey)
Lineage: Eukaryota; Metazoa; Chordata; Mammalia; Perissodactyla; Equidae
Description: lncRNA (ENSEASG00005033858.1)
Source: RNAcentral
UUAUCACUAUAGACCACAUUUUCUAGGAUUGUAUAAAGAUGGAAUCAUACGGCAGUAUUCCAUUGUGUGGAUAUAUCACCAUUUGGCUAUCCGGUCACCUGUUGAUAAACAUCUGGGUGGCUUCCGGGUUUGAGAGAUUACAAACAAAGCUGCUGUGAACAUUUGUGUCCCUGAACUAACUACUGCCAGUCUUCCUCUUUUUUGCUGAGGAAGCCUGGCCCUGAGCUAACAUCCGUGCCCAUCUUCCUCUACUUUAUAUGUGGGACACCUACCACAGCAUGACGUGCCAAGCAGUGCCAUGUCCGCACCCGGGAUCCGAACUGGUGAACCUCUGGCCGCCAAGAAGCGGACCGUGCAAACUUUGCUGCGCCACUGGGCCAGCCCUGAUCUUUUCUUUAUAAAACUGCCUCUUCUCUACUAGAUAGCCACCACCUCAGGAAAGUCUGUGUCUGACUUAUUGUUGUAUCC